This 496-nucleotide ribosomal RNA is filed under the name uncultured bacterium. Its description in RNAcentral is "partial 16S ribosomal RNA". It matches the Rfam family "Bacterial small subunit ribosomal RNA", at positions 29 to 507 of the family's 1533-position model. The record is from RNAcentral.
AUGAACGCUGGCGGCGUGCCUAAUACAUGCAAGUCGAGCGAACAGACGAGGAGCUUGCUCCUCUGACGUUAGCGGCGGACGGGUGAGUAACACGUGGAUAACCUACCUAUAAGACUGGGAUAACUUCGGGAAACCGGAGCUAAUACCGGAUAAUAUAUUGAACCGCAUGGUUCAAUAGUGAAAGACGGUUUUGCUGUCACUUAUAGAUGGAUCCGCGCCGCAUUAGCUAGUUGGUAAGGUAACGGCUUACCAAGGCAACGAUGCGUAGCCGACCUGAGAGGGUGAUCGGCCACACUGGAACUGAGACACGGUCCAGACUCCUACGGGAGGCAGCAGUAGGGAAUCUUCCGCAAUGGGCGAAAGCUUGAGGGAGCAACGCCGCGUGAGUGAUGAAGGUCUUCGGAUCGUAAAACUCUGUUAUUAGGGAAGAACAAAUGUGUAAGUAACUAUGCACGUCUUGACGGUACCUAAUCAGAAAGCCACGGCUAACUACGUG